UGAAGAUUGGAGAAUUUAUAAACAGUUUGGUCCAUAAUUAAUGCCAGUUCCAUUUUCUCAUAAACCAACAACAUAUCUGCCGGAAUGGCAGAAAAAUGUGGGUUCACCAACGCAAAUGUAAAGGCAUUUAGCUGAGCAAUAAAAAUAUCUUCAAUAUACUUUUCUUCUAAUUCGCAUAAAUUGUCUUUAUAACAAGGGAAAAG
RNAcentral lists this unclassified non-coding RNA (203 nucleotides) under Hevea brasiliensis (rubber tree). Lineage: Eukaryota; Viridiplantae; Streptophyta; Magnoliopsida; Malpighiales; Euphorbiaceae. The record is from RNAcentral.